This 496-nucleotide ribosomal RNA is filed under the name uncultured bacterium. Its description in RNAcentral is "partial 16S ribosomal RNA". It matches the Rfam family "Bacterial small subunit ribosomal RNA", at positions 28 to 506 of the family's 1533-position model. The record is from RNAcentral.
GAUGAACGCUGGCGGCGUGCCUAAUACAUGCAAGUCGAGCGAACAGACGAGGAGCUUGCUCCUCUGACGUUAGCGGCGGACGGGUGAGUAACACGUGGAUAACCUACCUAUAAGACUGGGAUAACUUCGGGAAACCGGAGCUAAUACCGGAUAAUAUAUUGAACCGCAUGGUUCAAUAGUGAAAGACGGUUUUGCUGUCACUUAUAGAUGGAUCCGCGCCGCAUUAGCUAGUUGGUAAGGUAACGGCUUACCAAGGCAACGAUGCGUAGCCGACCUGAGAGGGUGAUCGGCCACACUGGAACUGAGACACGGUCCAGACUCCUACGGGAGGCAGCAGGAGGGAAUCUGCCGCAAUGGGCGAAAGCCUGACGGAGCAACGCCGCGUGAGUGAUGAAGGUCUUCGGAUCGUAAAACUCUGUUAUUAGGGAAGAACAAAUGUGUAAGUAACUAUGCACGUCUUGACGGUACCUAAUCAGAAAGCCACGGCUAACUACGU